Molecule: non-coding RNA, 474 nt
Organism: Elephantulus edwardii (Cape elephant shrew)
Lineage: Eukaryota; Metazoa; Chordata; Mammalia; Macroscelidea; Macroscelididae
Source: the annotation of a RefSeq genome assembly
AUGAUUGGAGCCCACAGAUCCCCUAGCUUAGACCUGGCUGCCAGUGCUGGGUCCCAUGGCCAGUAUGAAAGAGCUCCCACACAGCCAGUGGCUAUGGAGGCCAACAGCUGCAGGCCCCCAGAGUGGGAAGGGACAGCGGGUGGGGUGAGUGGCCAACAACUAAACCAGAAUCCUCAGUCCAUGUCCCUCCAGGAAGGAGAGGACUCCAUCAUUAAUUGCAAUUCUUCAAGCACAUUUAACUCUUUCCUAUGGUACAAGCAGGAUGCUGGAGAAGGUCUUGUCCUCUUGAUAACUCUAUACAAAAGUGGUGAAGUAACCAGAAAGGAGAAAUUGACUGCUCAGUUUGGUGAAACAAGAAAGGACAGCUUACUGCACAUCUCAGCCUCAGCACCAGAUGAUACAGGCACCUACUUCUGUGCUGGGAGGCACAGUGUUCCUCAAACACUUACAGCCUGUACCCAAACCUGCAGCUAG